Triticum aestivum (bread wheat) is the source of this 5783-nucleotide long non-coding RNA. RefSeq lists it as uncharacterized. The transcript has 6 exons. Lineage: Eukaryota; Viridiplantae; Streptophyta; Magnoliopsida; Poales; Poaceae. The record is from RefSeq and is a predicted model, not a curated record.
AGCAACGCAGCCGGCUCCUCUCUCCCCGCUCGUCUCCUCCUCUCCCCCACGCCGCCCCUCCUCUCCCCGCUCGUCUCCUCCUCUCCUCUUCCCUCGACGCCGACUCCUCGCUGGCCUCCGCCUUCCCUCUCCGCGUCACCCCCGCAAUCCUUGCCGCCGCCUCCUCUCCUGCCGCCGCCACCUCGGCCUCGUCUCCUCUGUGCUGCCUCCUCCUCUCCACUUCUCUCCGCCACCGCAUGGCCGCCGCCGCUCGUCUCUUUCUUCACGCGACUCCUGUAGGACGAACCAUCCCCAUCCUCCAUCAGCCGCUGUUGUGCGCCGUGGUUCUUGACCGGCCGCAGGUCUAGGAGCAGAGGAGGACGGCGGUGGGGGGAAGGAAGAGUGCGGCCCGGACUCAGCAGGAGGAGGGGAGCAGCAGCAAAUCGGGCUUUAGGUUAGGCGAGGCUGGUGGUGCUCAGGCUUACGCACCACCAAAGGAUUUUCUCAUCGUGAUUGUGGCGUGCACUACGUCGAUGUGGACGGAGCGCGGGACAAGGUGACGGUGACUGGCACGGCGAGCCAGAAGAACGUGCUGCGCGCGGCGCACGGGGAAGCUCGCCCACUACCCUCCUCCACUUGUUCUCGUCUCGGUCAGGCUGGUGACCAGUGCCAGCACCGCUGCCACAUGUCGCCCACGCCCCUCCUCCGCUCGCUCUCGUCUCGGUCAGGCUGGUGACCAGUGCCAGCACCGCUGCCACACGUCGCCCACGCCCCUCCUCCGCCUGCUCUCGUCUCCGUCAGUAUGCUGAUGUUCAUUCCAUUGGAGCUGAGUCUCCUUGCCGGCGACCUUGCCAUCAAUUGCCUAUCUGCAGAUCGGAGAAAGAAGAGAUGAAGAACAAUUUUAGCUGAAGAGUUGAAGAAGCCAAGGUGAAUUUUAACCGUCUUGCAAACCCAAUCAAGUUUGCACUUGCAUUUUGAUAAUAUGAUUUGUGUUGAUGUGAGCACGAGUCCCUCUGAAGUGCUCGACCACCGGCUGGUUGCAGUGGAAGUCAGCAUCACUUAGCCGUGGCCAUCCCGGGCGCCGCGAGAAUUAGCUGAAAAAUCUUGCUGAGAUCCAGGUCACGGGCCAUCCCCAUUUAGGUGGCUAUGAAACUUGUUCCUAACGAAGAUAAAUUUAUGGAGGUGGUUAGGGGAACAGGAGGAGCAAGUUUGGCCUGGCAGGUGCUUCUCAGGUUCGAUGGCUUCCAGCAACAUCAAGAUCAUAGUGCUUUCCUCUUAGGUUCGGCCUUUGACAUUAAGCUCAAAAUCUACAUGUUGUCGAUUCGAUAAGAGAAGGCAAGGAGCUGUCCGCGAUCAGUAUGUAGUAAUGGGCAUCAAAGUUUUCUUACACCGGUGAUUCUGAAGCCGUUAAAUUGAUAUGAUCGCUUCACUCCCCUCCUAUACUCCUUUAGUCCAUUUAUUCCUAGACUAUAUGUUUUUAUUUUGUUAAAACCUUGAAGUAUUAAGAUGUUAGGGUAAAUUCUCUCACAAAGCUUGCUUUCUCCAUAGUCAUAUGUACAUGUGUUACUUUAUUUCCUAUAGCUAUAUUGCUAUUUCCCUCGGGACUUAUCCCCCUUUUCCUUCUUUAUAGUAGCAUGAUCAGGUGAAGGAAAGAAAAAUGUGUUUGAAUUAUCGUGUGGGUCUUUAAACAAUUAUGUGUGUCUUUAAACAAUUAUGUGUAUGGAGUAAGAACUGUAUAUAUAGCUAUUGAAUAAGAACUAUAUGUAUAGUUAUCGAUAUAUGUUUCUUGCAUCUUAGGGGUUCAAUGGCACCCGUCUCAUGUUUCUUCCAUGUGAUUUUUUACCCGAAUAUUAGGAUCACAACUUAACUUAAAUUAGCAGUAUAGUGUCAAUGGGCAUCAUUUGAAGCUAAUAAGAUGUUGUUACUGAAGAACAGCCCCUUGCUACUGGCAUAGUACGUGAAAAACACCCUAAAUAGAUUAAAGAAAUCAUGCUUGACUGUGAUUGCAUUUGGUUGAUGCUUAGGUGUAUUUCCCAUCGGUACAUCAAGGUGGUAAUCUUCUACAUUUCAGGUCCAAGCUUUCAAUGCAUUUUUCUAUCUUUUUUCAUAUCCCAGUGAUCAUCUGCAAGGCCGAAUUAUGCCAUUGUUGAUGGUGCACAGGUCUGUUGCAUGGUAAACCCAGUAUUGGCCCUCCUUUCAAGCUCUUGUGUUCAUCCUAGAGAAAAUUCUGGAAAAUACAUCUGAACUAUCUUUUUAAUCUUCCAAUAGUGUACUCCUACGAUUAUAUAUAUGGAUACAUCAAAUCGAUGUGUCUAGGGACCUAAAGCCUUAAGAGUUAAGUGCCAAACUGGGGACCAAUGUCAUAACUACAGAUGGGAUUUAUUCAGUUAUUUUCUUGCCUAGAAUGAUGAUGUAUGCAUAUGGGCGUUGUUCAGUCAUAAGAGCUUAUCGGUUCAGCCUGCAUAGUUUUGUUUCUUCAGUGUACUGUGUCUGAGGAAAACAUUUAUUUUGUUUCCUAUUUAAGUGAAUUCAUGGAUGAGAUGGACGAAUUUCUAUUGUGUGGGCUGGAGGUUCUUGAGGUAGGGCACCAGCACUAGCUAAGGGUAAAAUGUAUGACAUGCUUGAUGAGCAUGCAUGUCUAUAUGAUUUUGUGGCACUGAUUUGUUCCAUGCCAGUUUAUUUCCAGCAGUUGGUCUCCUUCUUCAUAGAGAUUUUAUCAGUAUACUAAAUUAAAUAAGAAACUGAAUGUAUAUUGCUUUCACCUUCAGUUCGAACAUGAUUUCUUAUUUAUGACAUAGGUGGAAAUUAGCAAGCAAGCUACAGUCGGUCCAUGGAUGACCAAGUUUACAGAUUACUUUAUGAAGAUGAUGAUUCCUAAAUAGAAUUACGAGCUAGGUCCUGCAUGUUGAUCGUGCUUCAAGGUACAGUUGUUCGUGCCUUGUAAAAUUGUAAUACUUUUUAUUGGUUGUGCAUCCUAGGACCAAAAGCUUGAUUCAUAGAUAUCCGAAGAACUGGGGACUUUUUACUCUCUGUCGUUGCAGGGUAGAAUAGGAUGGGAGGAGGGGACGUGCGCUCCAUAUUUUGUUAUGCACACCUUCCUAAACUAUACUUUUCUUCUUAACAUAUGUUCAUUGUCCGGUAGAAGCUGUAGAUUUCAGCAUACAGUAAUUUCCAAAAUGGCAGAAGGUAAGAACCAUGUUACAUGAUCCUUUUGUGUUCUCUUGAUAGUGUUUAAAGCUUAAAUUGAUAACUCCAUCAGAGUUCAAGCAUUAGGCUCUCUGCUCUGUGUAUUGCCAAGUGUUCUAUAUAAUGCUUUGAUGUUCCUUUGUCACUGUUUGAUGUUCUGCCUUGGGUGGCCUCUGUCUUGGUUUACAGCUCCAUAUGGUGUUUCCAUAUUCUUGCCUUCCUCUUUUUAACUCAUGAGAUUGUUAGAUAGUUGAAUAUCAUUGGUUUCUAUCGGCAUUCUAUUUUUGCAGUUUGAAAUUAGUAUCGGUCCAUUGAUAUUAAACUUCACAGUAGGUAGUGGCAUCUUCAGGAAAAAGUAGUGGCAGAUAUACUGGAGACUACUGCCCAAAUCCUCAGCACAUAUUUUUUUAGUAACGGAGAGGAUUAUUCACCUUUGCGGCUGUAGGCGUUCAAGACCUGGCAGGGCUGGGUCAACCGGCCCUUUGUGUUCAUGACCCGGCUCUGAUGAGCCUUAACAGCCGUGCUACCGGCUGGGCAUCUUCAUCCUGAGCCGUGUCCAGAACAAGACCAGUAGGGGCACCCUGAGCGAGUACUCGAGGCAUGCUGUCAAGUUGGAUGAGUGCAACCAGGCGAGUUGCCGUGUGUGUCCACGGUUCAUAUAGUCAAGGUGUUCGCUCAUCUUGGGCCAGAAUGAGCACUACAAGAGGAAGCCCCCAAUAUUUUUCAUUCUUUGAUAGAUGGUUACAUUGUUGUAUGUUGGUUAAAGACAAUGUUUUUCUUCUCGAAUUAUGAUACCUCAAACAACAGUAAGAUAUAACCGUUUUAUUUGUUUUGCAAUGAAAGCUUCCAUCAAAUAGUAUUUUAGAAUUGUGCUCCGUCUUAGGCUAUUUUGUACUCCCUCCGUUCCUAAAUAUAAGUCUUUGUAGAGAUUUCAAAUGGACUACCACAUACUGAUGUAUAUAGACAUAUUUUAUAGUGUAGAUUCAUUCAUUUUGCUUCGUAUGUAGUCAUUUGUUGAAAUCUCUAGAAAGACCUACAUUUAGGAACGAAGGGAGUAGAUUCAUACAAGAUACAGUUUGUGUGCAUUGAAAUAGCAACAAGUUGGCCUCUCGGUCUCAUUUCUGUAUGCAUUUGACUCGUACACGCAACCAGCGUGUCCAUGUGAUUUGGAUGAAUUUUUCUACCCUGUUUUAUGUUGUGAUGUCUUUGAUUUUUGUCUCUUCCAGAUUUACAUAGAGAUGCCUCGGUGAAUACUCAAGAUUUUUGUGUUCUUUUCUAUUGACGGCCUUUAGGUUUUUAUUUUUAUUUUUAUAAUGUUCUGAAACGAGGUCACACCUACUAAUCUUGCUCUACAGGCUAAUGGCAUGAUGCUAGGUCAAGAAUGCAGGGUGAGCAAAAUAAGACUAUGAACACUUUUAUCUCUUUGUUCAUCUAGAGCAUAUGGAGGGAGCAAGAUAAGGGGCUUUGACAGUGUCUUCACACCGCCUCAGAGGGGGUGCCACCGAGGGCUUUCUCAUGGAACGCGGUGCAAGGUGGUUUUACGGUGCACUAGGGGAGCAUGGAACGUGGUGCACUGGGGGUGCCACUGAGGGCUACCCUGCACGCUGGUCUUCUACUACUUUCCCAGGCCUAUUACUUCCCCUGAGAUGGUUCUAAGGGUUCUAUUCGACUCUAUUAUAUUUUUUUCUUUUUUGAUUGCUUUUCCUUCUCUGUUUCUUUUUUUAUAUGCAAGGCCAUAAAAUUUUACCAUGCAUCCUUGCUCACACAGAAAAUUACUUCAAAACACACAUGCUUCUAAAAAUGCACAUCCUUUUCAGAACUAUGUAUAUCUUAUCAUCAAAGGUUAUAAGGCAGAAUGUGUUUGCCCACAACUAAAACAAGUAAUACAUUGUACUUCUUCAAAUCACACGUGGAAUUAGCGAGCUCCUUCAGGUAUUUCAAGGAAAAAACAGAAUCUGUUUAACUAAUUUUCUAUAUUGCUUAUUUAUGCAUUUGUGACCAUAGCUUUCCACUUUAGCUCAUAAACUAGAUGGCAAAAUAGAGUUUGCCCAUUUCAUAUCUAUGUUGCCUUAUUAGGAAAAUAGAGUUUGUUUUAUAGCUUAUGCUUAAUAUGUUUGUUCGAUUGGUGAAUGCUCAACAUUACCUCAUAAACCGGAUGGCAAAUGCUAAUUCUGAUGGGGCUUUUGCCACUUCUUUUUUUAUGGUUGUCUAGCCAGCUGAUGGCAUGCUUCUUUCUUGCUAAUUGUCAAUUCUUUUGUACAUGGCCCCUCAGCUACUUAUGCUUUGCUAGACAAUGAGAGUAUGUAGAUAGCAUGUAUGGUUUUUACAUUGUCUUGUGCAGGUUGAGAUGCAUCACAUGAUGUUUUCCUUUUACAUGUAUGGCUAUUACAGAGUCCUUUCUUUUUCCACAAGGGGCAGUAGUUGUGCCAUUCGAUUCGAAGGACAAAGAGUUGAUCACAAAGGGGUAUAGAACCAAAUUAUAUGAUGUAACUGGCCACUAUCUCUAUUAACUUCUCCUAUACACAAUGUUCACGAGUUCAUGUAUUAAGUACAUUUUAUUGUGUCACUUGUGUUUACUCUUUUUUUAAUGCAAGUUUACAGCUACUCGGAGUUCCUAA